AUACGGAGGAUGCGAGCGUUAUCCGGAUUUAUUAGGUUUAAAGGGUGUGUAGGCGGUAUUUUAAGUCAGUGGUGAAAUCUCGGAGCUUAACUUCGAAACUGCCAUUGAUACUGGAAUACUUGAGUAUAGUUGAGGUAGGCGGAAUAUGUAAUGUAGCGGUGAAAUGCAUAGAUAUUACAUAGAACACCGAUUGCGAAGGCAGCUUACUAAACUAUUACUGACGCUGAUGCACGAAAGCGUGGGUAGCAAACAGGAUUAGAAACCCCAGUAGUCC
RNAcentral lists this ribosomal RNA (274 nucleotides) under uncultured bacterium. RNAcentral's name for it is "partial 16S ribosomal RNA". It matches the Rfam family "Bacterial small subunit ribosomal RNA", at positions 523 to 796 of the family's 1533-position model. The record is from RNAcentral.